UACGUAGGGAGCAAGCGUUGUCCGGAAUCAUUGGGCGUAAAGCGCGCGUAGGUGGCCUCAUAAGUCCGCUGUGAAAGUCAAAGGCUCAACCUUUGAAAGCCGGUGGAUACUGUGAGGCUAGAGUACGGAAGAGGCGAGUGGAAUUCCUGGUGUAGCGGUGGAAUGCGCAGAUAUCAGGAGGAACACCAAUAGCGAAGGCAGCUCGCUGGGACGUUACUGACACUGAGGCGCGAAAACGUGGGGAGCGAACAGG
Molecule: ribosomal RNA, 253 nt
Filed under: uncultured bacterium
Lineage: Bacteria
Description: partial 16S ribosomal RNA
Rfam family: Bacterial small subunit ribosomal RNA
Source: RNAcentral